Molecule: ribosomal RNA, 400 nt
Filed under: uncultured bacterium
Lineage: Bacteria
Description: bacterial SSU rRNA
Rfam family: Bacterial small subunit ribosomal RNA
Source: RNAcentral
UUGGGAAUCUUGGACAAUGGGGGAAACCCUGAUCCAGCCAUGCCGCGUGAGUGAUGAAGGCCUUCGGGUUGUAAAGCUCUUUUACCCGGGAAGAUAAUGACUGUACCGGGCGAAUAAGCCCCGGCUAACUCCGUGCCAGCAGCCGCGGUAAUACGGAGGGGGCUAGCGUUGUUCGGAAUUACUGGGCGUAAAGCGCACGUAGGCGGCUUUGUAAGUUAGAGGUGAAAGCCCGGGGCUCAACUCCGGAAUUGCCUUUAAGACUGCAUCGCUAGAAUUGUGGAGAGGUGAGUGGAAUUCCGAGUGUAGAGGUGAAAUUCGUAGAUAUUCGGAAGAACACCAGUGGCGAAGGCGACUCACUGGACACAUAUUGACGCUGAGGUGCGAAAGCGUGGGGAGCAAA